Molecule: non-coding RNA, 2336 nt
Organism: Oryctolagus cuniculus (rabbit)
Lineage: Eukaryota; Metazoa; Chordata; Mammalia; Lagomorpha; Leporidae
Source: RefSeq, a predicted model, not a curated record
GGGCCAUCCUCCACUGUACUCCCAGGCCAUAGCAGAGAGCUGGCCUGGAAAAGGGGCAACUGGGACAGACUCCAGCGCCCCGACCGGGACUAGAACCCAGUGUGCUGGCACCGCUAGGUGGAGGAUUAGCCUGUUGAGCCGCGGCGCUGGCUUCUUUCAUUGUUUUUAAUCUUUUAGAAGUCCUUUAAGCUAAAUGACUGUUAUUUCACUAGAUUAGUGUUUUUACUUUCAUCAGGAACAACAUGUAUUUCCUAAUAUAUAUUAUUAUAAUAAGGUUAACUUUGUUUCUUCCUUGUCCUAGAUAAAACAGCCAGUUUAUCAAGGUAAGAUUUUAGCCUCUGUUUUCUUUAUAAUACUUUUCUCAGUGCUGGUAUUAGAUGAGAUCUUUUAUUAAACUAGCUCUAAGUACAGUAAUUUUUAUAACUUCCUGGCUUAUUACUUCUUGAAGGUUUUAGUAUUCCUGGAGUGGUUUCUAAAUGACAAUGGAGAGGGACUCGUGAUCUGUUGUAAGAAUGCAGGAAGAAGAAGCAUUAGUGGGCAUAGGAGACUGAAAUGAGUUUAGCUUCGCCUAGAAAUGUUUAAGAAGCAAGUGAUGCUGGCUAGUGCCGUGGCUCACUAGGCUAAUCCUCGCCUUGUGGCGCUGGCACACUGGGUUCUAGUCCCAGUUGGGGCACCGGAUUCUGUCCCAGUUGCCCCUCUUCCAGGCCAGCUCUCUGCUGUGGACAGGGAGUGCAGUGGAGGAUGGCCCAAGUGCUUGGGCCCUGCACCCCAUGGGAGACUAGGAGGAAGCACCUGGCUCCUGCCAUCGGAUCAGCACGGUGCACCGGCCACAGUAGCCAUUGGAGGGUGAACCAACAGCAAAGGAAGACUUUUCUCUCUGUCUCUCUCACUGUCCGCUCUGCCUGUCAAAAAAAAAAAAAAAAAAAGCAAGUGAUGCUAAUAUUUUUUUUUAAAAAUUAUAUAAUGUGAACCUAUCAAAAAGCUUAAGACUUAGAAAAGAUCUGGUUUUCUGGGGGAGGGGAGAAUGUGUCAGGAUAUUUACAUGGAAAGUCUUUAAUGCCGGAGCAGAAAGAGCAGAAAUGAUGCAUACGGUGGAAGAAGGAUUUCAUAUAGGCUUUAUGGGCAAUAAAUAAGUGUUGCUAUCUAUUGAGAGCCAAAGCUGCCAGACACAUAGUAGGCCCAACACGUUUUAUUUUUACAGAUCUAUUUAGUUUAUUUGAAAGGCAGAGUUGAGAGAGCAAGAGAGAGUGAAUUCCAUCUGCUGGUUCACUCUCCAAAUGGCUGCAAUGGCUGGGCUGGGCCAGGUUGAAGCCAGAAGCUUUAUCCUGGUCUCCCACAUGUGUGACAGGGGCUCAAGCACUUGGGCCAUCAUCCAACAUUUCCCCAGGCUAUUAGCAGGGAGUUGGAUAAGAGGUAGAGCACCCAGGACACGAACCAGCACCCACAUGGGUUCCUGACAUAGCAGGUGGAGAAUCAACCCGCUAUACCACAGCAAUGGCUCUGUGUGUUUAUUUUUUAUACUGAAUUUAUCACUUGUCAUGUUUGAAAGGGUGAAUUCAGGGCAGCAGAGCUCAUAUCAUGGGCAAAUAACAAAACAAAAAUAAGGAUGCAUCUGAGGUCAGAUGAGAGAACUAAAAGACUGUCAGAGGAGUCCUUUAGGUGUUUAUGUGAGCCAUCCACCUUACAGGAUGGGUGCAUCAGGGCACGGUGUUCACUUUUAUGGUAGGCAGUAGCAUUCUGAUCUUGGUAGUGGAAAGUCCUAUCUGAGGGGUUGGGAGCUCAUCCAGAUCCCGUAGAGACUAAGUGGUAACAGGUUGUAUUAAAUUAUUCUAUACUUCAACACCAUUCCAGAGCCCUCCAUUCUGCUUCUUGUGAAAGACAAUCCUCAGGGCAGCAGGAAGUCUUUGGAGGCCCUGGAGUAGCCAAUCAAUUGACACUUUGAACACUGCUUUCAUAGGAAUUUCAAAUGAUGGUAUUUGAGGAAGGAACAUAAUUAUCUACCUUCAUAAUUAGGGAAUAGAAAUUUAAUUUGCAGCAAAUUUCUGAGAAGAUCAAUAAUGUCACGAAAGAAAAUGCAGAACUUGUACAACAAAUUUCUGUUUUGGAACAGAAGAUCACUGAGUCGAGAAAACGUCUUCAGGAGACUAAAAGACAAAAAAAGGUGUUCUCUGAUGAAUCAGUUAAACUUAAGGCAUUUGAAAAAGGGAAAUCUACUGAAAACUUGAAAGAAGUUAUUUCAAUGAACAACUCGGGAAUUUCAGAGUCGGAAGAUGAAAAUGAUGGAGUCAAGGAUUUACAGCUGAGAGCCUUGAGGGCCAAAAUAUGGAUGCUGGAAG